UGGGGAAUUUUGGACAAUGGGGGAAACCCUGAUCCAGCCAUCCCGCGUGUGCGAUGAAGGCCUUCGGGUUGUAAAGCACUUUUGGCAGGAAAGAAACGUCAUGGGUUAAUACCCCGUGAAACUGACGGUACCUGCAGAAUAAGCACCGGCUAACUACGUGCCAGCAGCCGCGGUAAUACGUAGGGUGCAAGCGUUAAUCGGAAUUACUGGGCGUAAAGCGUGCGCAGGCGGUUCGGAAAGAAAGAUGUGAAAUCCCAGAGCUCAACUUUGGAACUGCAUUUGUAACUACCGGGCUAGAGUGUGUCAGAGGGAGGUGGAAUUCCGCGUGUAGCAGUGAAAUGCGUAGAUAUGGGGAGGAACACCGAUGGCGAAGGCAGCCUCCUGGGAUAACACUGACGCUCAUGCACGAAAGCGUGGGGAGCAAACAGG
Molecule: ribosomal RNA, 429 nt
Filed under: Acidobacteriota bacterium
Lineage: Bacteria; Pseudomonadati; Acidobacteriota
Description: Acidobacteria bacterium partial 16S ribosomal RNA
Rfam family: Bacterial small subunit ribosomal RNA
Source: RNAcentral